CUCACUUCAUUUUACUUUGGAAACUUUUAGAUUAAUUUAGCCAAGGUCUGUUUUUUUUCCUUCUUCAUUGCAAGAUAUCGGUACCUCAUAACGAGUCAGACAAGAUUGCACGAGGCGGUCUUGACAAAAUGACCCUUAUUGAGGUUGGUGAUUGGUCCAAGGUUUUGUUUAAAUCCAACCCAUUCUACGUAUCUCGAAACCAGAUUCGAGCUUUGGAGAAAAGAAAUAAAGCUGGGAAAAUUUGCUAAGAAGAUCAAAGCAACAACGAGGAGAAAAAUGCAUGAGCUCGCAAACCCAUUGGAGCCUGAUGAAUUUGCUGAGAUAAAACUUUUGUUUUGUUGUAGUUGUUAUAAACUUCUAAAUUCACAGAAUCAACACAAUUUUGUCUUUACUCCCAUUUUAAUCGAUAAAAAGAUGAGAUUCUUUUCUUACAUAUUAACAACACAGAGUUAUGCAAGUAAAGACUGGAUCUUUAUUCUCUUUGCGAUGUUCAAGAAGAAGCAAAGCAAUUUGAUAUCUUAAUCGUCGUCAUAGGGCUAAUUACAUAAACAAGAGUACGUAAAAAAAA
Molecule: non-coding RNA, 568 nt
Organism: Camelina sativa (false flax)
Lineage: Eukaryota; Viridiplantae; Streptophyta; Magnoliopsida; Brassicales; Brassicaceae
Source: RefSeq, a predicted model, not a curated record